This 873-nucleotide ribosomal RNA is filed under the name Triticum aestivum (bread wheat). Its description in RNAcentral is "partial small subunit ribosomal RNA". The record is from RNAcentral. Lineage: Eukaryota; Viridiplantae; Streptophyta; Magnoliopsida; Poales; Poaceae.
CCCCGCCUUGGCUAUAUACACAUCCGCUACAUCCAGCCCCUCGAUCCCCUGUCUAGCCGCCCUCCGCCUCCCCGUCUCGCUCGCUCCCACCUCUCGCCGCCGCCGCCGCCGCCGCCGCCCGCGCAGCCGCAAAAUGCCGUUCAAGAGGUUCGUGGAGAUCGGGCGGGUGGCCCUGGUGAACUAUGGCAAGGACUACGGCCGCCUCGUCGUCAUCGUCGACGUUGUUGACCAGAACAGGGCACUUGUUGAUGCUCCGGACAUGGUCCGCUGCCAGAUGAACUUCAAGCGGCUCUCUCUGACCGACAUCAAGAUUGACAUCAAGCGGAUCCCUAAGAAGGCAACUUUGAUCAAAGCAAUGGAGGAAGCUGAUGUGAAGACCAAGUGGGAAAACAGCUCAUGGGGCAAGAAGCUGGUUGUCCAGAAGAGGAGGGCAUCGCUCAAUGACUUCGACAGGUUCAAGGUCAUGCUCGCCAAGAUCAAGAGGGGAGGAGCUAUCAGGCAGGAGCUAGCGAAGCUUAAGAAGGAGGUUGCUGCUGCUUAGAUCACUUUGGUGGGCAGACUGUUGAGCUUUUGGUCAGCGUUGUAUCUUUGCCCCAAAAUCGUGAAAUAUUGUGUGAAUCACUCAUCACUGUUAUUGGUGUAUCAGAUGAAAAUUUAGUAGUGUUUGAGAUUUUGCUGGACUUGUCAGGAUCUGAGAUGGUAUGUUAUCUAUCUGUUAUUUGUGAUGCCAUCUAAAUACAUGGGCCUAGUGCUUACUGUUAGUCUGCUGCGUGUUUACCCCAGUGGCUACACCGGGCAUUAUUCCUAGAACAGCUUUGUUCCAAUCGAUCAUGUUUAUGUAUUAUGGAGUACUACUCCCUCCGUUCCUAAAUA